This 793-nucleotide ribosomal RNA is filed under the name uncultured bacterium. RNAcentral's name for it is "bacterial SSU rRNA". It matches the Rfam family "Bacterial small subunit ribosomal RNA", at positions 95 to 898 of the family's 1533-position model. The record is from RNAcentral.
GUGGCAGACGGGUGAGUAACACGUGGGAACGUACCUUUCGGUUCGGAAUAAUCCAGGGAAACUUGGACUAAUACCGGCUACGCCCUUCGGGGGAAAGAUUUAUCGCCGAAAGAUCGGCCCGCGUCUGAUUAGCUAGUUGGUGAGGUAAAGGCUCACCAAGGCGACGAUCAGUAGCUGGUCUGAGAGGAUGAUCAGCCACAUUGGGACUGAGACACGGCCCAAACUCCUACGGGAGUCAGCAGUGGGGAAUAUUGGACAAUGGGCGAAAGCCUGAUCCAGCCAUGCCGCGUGAGUGAUGAAGGCCCUCGGGUUGUAAAGCACUUUUAUCAGGAACGAAAUACCACGGGUUAAUACCCCAUGGGCUGACGGUACCUGAGGAAUAAGCACCGGCUAACUUCGUGCCAGCAUCCGCGGUAAUACGAAGGGUGCAAGCGUUAAUCGGAAUUACUGGGCGUAAAGGGUGCGUAGGCGGUUCGUUAAGUCUGUCGUGAAAUCCCCGGGCUCAACCUGGGAAUGGCGAUGGAUACUGGCGAGCUAGAGUGUGUCAGAGGAUGGUGGAAUUUCCGGUGUAGCGGUGAAAUGCGUAGAGAUCGGAAGGAACAUCAGUGGCGAAGGCGGCCAUCUGGGACAACACUGACGCUGAAGCACGAAAGCGUGGGGAGCAAACAGGAUUAGAUACCCUGGUAGUCCACGCCCUAAACGAUGCGAACUGGAUGUUGGUCUCAACUCGGAGAUCAGUGUCGAAGCUAACGCGUUAAGUUCGCCGCCUGGGGAGUACGGUCGCAAGACUGAA